UACGGGGGGGGCAAGCGUUGUUCGGAAUUACUGGGCGUAAAGCGUACGCAGGCGGCUUUGCAAGACAGGUGUGAAAUCCCCGGGCCUAACCUGGGAACUGCAUUUGUGACUGCAUAGCUAGAGUUUGUCAGAGGGGGGUGGAAUUCCACGUGUAGCAGUGAAAUGCGUAGAGAUAUGGAGGAACACCGAUGGCGAAGGCAGCCCCCUGGGCUAACACUGACGCUCAGGCACGAAAGCGUGGGGAGCAAACAGG
This 253-nucleotide ribosomal RNA is filed under the name uncultured bacterium. Its description in RNAcentral is "partial 16S ribosomal RNA". It matches the Rfam family "Bacterial small subunit ribosomal RNA", at positions 524 to 776 of the family's 1533-position model. The record is from RNAcentral.